CCUACGGGAGGCAGCAGUGAGGAAUAUUGGUCAAUGGACGAGAGUCUGAACCAGCCAAGUAGCGUGAAGGAUGACUGCCCUAUGGGUUGUAAACUUCUUUUAUAUGGGAAUAAAGUGUUCCACGUGUGGCUUUUUGUAUGUACCAUAUGAAUAAGGAUCGGCUAACUCCGUGCCAGCAGCCGCGGUAAUACGGAGGAUCCGAGCGUUAUCCGGAUUUAUUGGGUUUAAAGGGAGCGUAGAUGGAUUGUUAAGUCAGUUGUGAAAGUUUGCGGCUCAACCGUAAAAUUGCAGUUGAAACUGGCAGUCUUGAGUACAGUAGAGGUAGGCGAAAUUCGUGGUGUAGCGGUGAAAUGCUUAGAUAUCACGAAGAACUCCGAUUGCGAAGGCAGCUCACUAAACUGCAACUGACACUGAGGCUCGAAAGUGUGGGUAUCAAACAGGAUUAGAUACCCUAGUAGUC
RNAcentral lists this ribosomal RNA (460 nucleotides) under uncultured bacterium. Its description in RNAcentral is "partial 16S ribosomal RNA". It matches the Rfam family "Bacterial small subunit ribosomal RNA", at positions 338 to 795 of the family's 1533-position model. The record is from RNAcentral.